Small nuclear RNA from Pongo abelii (Sumatran orangutan), 104 nucleotides. Lineage: Eukaryota; Metazoa; Chordata; Mammalia; Primates; Hominidae. The record is from Ensembl.
GCUCACUUUGGAAGCAAACACUAAAAUUGGAAUAAUACAGAGAAUAUUAUCAUGGCCCCUUGCACAAGGAUGACACACAAAUUUGUGAAGUGCUCUAUAUUUUU